This 426-nucleotide ribosomal RNA is filed under the name uncultured Comamonadaceae bacterium. RNAcentral's name for it is "bacterial SSU rRNA". It matches the Rfam family "Bacterial small subunit ribosomal RNA", at positions 356 to 774 of the family's 1533-position model. The record is from RNAcentral. Lineage: Bacteria; Pseudomonadati; Pseudomonadota; Betaproteobacteria; Burkholderiales; Comamonadaceae.
GGGGAAUUUUGGACAAUGGGCGCAAGCCUGAUCCAGCCAUGCCGCGUGCAGGAUGAAGGCCUUCGGGUUGUAAACUGCUUUUGUACGGAACGAAAAGACUCUUUCUAAUAAAGAGGGUCCAUGACGGUACCGUAAGAAUAAGCACCGGCUAACUACGUGCCAGCAGCCGCGGUAAUACGUAGGGUGCGAGCGUUAAUCGGAAUUACUGGGCGUAAAGCGUGCGCAGGCGGUGAUGUAAGACAGAUGUGAAAUCCCCGGGCUCAACCUGGGAACUGCAUUUGUGACUGCAUCGCUGGAGUGCGGCAGAGGGGGAUGGAAUUCCGCGUGUAGCAGUGAAAUGCGUAGAUAUGCGGAGGAACACCGAUGGCGAAGGCAAUCCCCUGGGCCUGCACUGACGCUCAUGCACGAAAGCGUGGGGAGCAAACA